RNAcentral lists this ribosomal RNA (253 nucleotides) under uncultured bacterium. RNAcentral's name for it is "partial 16S ribosomal RNA". It matches the Rfam family "Bacterial small subunit ribosomal RNA", at positions 524 to 776 of the family's 1533-position model. The record is from RNAcentral.
UACGUAGGGGGCAAGCGUUAUCCGGAUUUACUGGGUGUAAAGGGAGCGUAGACGGCUUUGCAAGCCAGAUGUGAAAGCCCGGGGCUCAACCCCGGGACUGCAUUUGGAACUGUGUGGCUAGAGUGUCGGAGAGGCAGGCGGAAUUCCUAGUGUAGCGGUGAAAUGCGUAGAUAUUAGGAGGAACACCAGUGGCGAAGGCGGCCUGCUGGACGAUGACUGACGUUGGGGCUCGAAAGCGUGGGGAGCAAACAGG